UAAGUCAGCCGGAUAAUCGCUGGCCCGACUAUCGUUUGAUAGCAGGCUGGAGGAAAGUCCGGGCUCCACAGGACAGAGUGCCAGAUAACGUCUGGGAGGCGCGAGCCUACGGCCAGUGCAACAGAGAGUAAACCGCCCGGCUUCGCAUCGUUUUACGCUGCUAUGCCGUGGUAAGGGUGAAAGGGUGUGGUAAGAGCGCACCGCACUUCUGGUAACAGAAGUGGCAUGGUAAACCCCACUCGGAGCAAGACCAAAUAGGAAAACAUUGGCGUAGUCCGCGCCGUUUUCGGGUUGGUCGCUUGAGGCUGAAAGGUGACUUUCAGUCCAGAUGAAUGAUUAUCCUAGACAGAACCCGGCUUACAGGCUGACUUAUUUU
RNAcentral lists this RNase P RNA (376 nucleotides) under Gammaproteobacteria bacterium. RNAcentral describes it as "RNase P RNA component class A". It matches the Rfam family "Bacterial RNase P class A". Rfam says of the family: Ribonuclease P (RNase P) is a ubiquitous endoribonuclease, found in archaea, bacteria and eukarya as well as chloroplasts and mitochondria. Its best characterised activity is the generation of mature 5'-ends of tRNAs by cleaving the 5'-leader elements of precursor-tRNAs. Lineage: Bacteria; Pseudomonadati; Pseudomonadota; Gammaproteobacteria. The record is from RNAcentral.